Apis florea (little honeybee) is the source of this 1254-nucleotide long non-coding RNA. Lineage: Eukaryota; Metazoa; Arthropoda; Insecta; Hymenoptera; Apidae. The record is from RefSeq and is a predicted model, not a curated record.
UUUCAUCAUUAUUUUUCGAUAUUUUAUCAAAAGAUUCAAUUAUUUUGAUAAUAUCAGUAUUAUGAUAUGCUGAAAAAAAAAGAAGUAUUUUUUACUCUGAAAUACAACUUUCUUAGCUAAAGUAAUGUUAAUCCAAUGUUCGAAGUAGAAUUGUUGCUUGUUGAAUUCAUAGCUAUUUAAUGACAAUUUUAUUGCGCGAAAAAUGAUUAAUGGCACGUUAUUUGCUCGCUGAGGGAAAUACUCGGUGAUAGGUUAAUGGACGUAAAAAAUGAACAGGCUGGCGUAAAGCGGCAGAGAGAUACGAGCCUCGACGAUGAUAGAUAUGCUUUAACCAGUCGUAAUUGUUUUGCGUUCGCUCUUAAUUGGGGCUACUUGUUCGUUACGUUUCUUCCGAAUGAGUAAGAAGCUAUGAAGUUUUAAUAAAUGCCUUGAUCGAGCUGUUAACAUGUUCUGCGAGGAAACAGGUAAAAAAAAUCUUCAAUUCGUUAGUCAGUUUAUACUUAUUAAUAAUAAAUAUAAAAAACGAAGAAUAAUAGAAUCAUAGCUUGAAUUCACAAAUCGAUCGUAAAAUAAAGGUUAUUUUCUAUCUCUUUCUCUCUCUCUUGAUUCGCUGUUUCACUUCGACGAUGCAUUGCAGUUUUAUUAUUGAUUCAAAUGAAGACGAUUCAAGACAUUGGAUAGCCAGACUUUCCACGUCCUGUAUUCAGACCUUCUGAGUGAUUUCUAGGUCAGAUAACAAUUAGAAUAACUCGAUUGAAUUGGUAUACCGAUCAGUGAGACGGUAAAGGUGGUCGGCUAGCUUUCGAAAGUGAUGACCCCAGGGAGCGGUAAAGAUGCGUGCAGGUGCUUCCUCCUUGCAUUUUAUACCUAGAACAACACUAAUGCGAUGAAGAUUAGUUUACUUAAGUUCCCAUGAACUAUUUUUGAGCUUAAUCGUUUGCACUGAUCUCCUGUUAUACGUUGUAUACGUACGCCAGCUAGGUUGUAAUAGAUAAUUACUCCCGCGACCAGGUAGGGGGAUAGACGUUCUUGGAUCGCUAAUGAGCUUCUGGAAUAUUAUCGAUGCUCACGGUAAUGCUUAUAACUGCUUUUCAACUGAGAUUGUAAAUUUUCCGUUGUUCACUGAUUUCUGAGGGAAAGAUGCACGCCGAUUAUGCAUUGGUGGAAUAUAAUAAUGUUUUAAAGAUACCUGUUGCUUCUGUCUGAACGAGGAAUUAUCAGUAGAUUUGCCAGAACGAAGCGAAGACGGACGUG